Molecule: ribosomal RNA, 439 nt
Filed under: uncultured bacterium
Lineage: Bacteria
Description: partial 16S ribosomal RNA
Rfam family: Bacterial small subunit ribosomal RNA
Source: RNAcentral
CCUACGGGGGUCAGCAGUGGGGGAUAUUGCACAAUGGGGGGAACCCUGAUGCAGCGACGCCGCGUGGGUGAAGGAGCGUUUCGGCGCGUAAAGCCCUAUCGGCAGGGAAGAAGCUGACGGUACCUGACCAAGAAGCCCCGGCUCACUACGUGCCAGCAGCCGCGGUAAUACGGCGGGGGCCAGCGUUAUCCGGAUUUAUUGGGUUGAAAGGGGGCGCAGGCGGAUUUUUAAGUCAGCGGUAAAAUCGUGGGGCUCAACCCCAUCCAGCCGUUGAACCUGGGGAUCUAGAGUGUGCGAGAGGUAUGCGGAAUGCGUGGUGUAGCGGUGAAAUGCAUAGAUAUCACGCAGAACCCCGAUUGCGAAGGCAGCAUACCGGUGCACAACUGACGCUCAGGCACGAAAGCGUGGGUAUCGAACAGGAUUAGAUACCCGAGUAGUC